UAUGCUGAACAAAAUAAAAUUGGUCCCAUUGGGAUCUGAGUUGUACACGUAAAAGACUUGCAUUGUAAGUAAAUAUCUAAGCAGCUUUAAAUGGGACGGAAUAUUUUUUAAAUCAAUAUUCGCUGCUCGCUUAGCUUAGAAGAUUUGCAAAGUUCAUACCUAGUAGUCAUUAAAUAUGUAAAUACAUAUUGUUGAAUUAAAUAUAGCGGAGAGGCACAUAUUCUUCCAAAGUGAAAUUGAAGUGGUGCUAAAUGGAAAGUGUGCAUGCCGGUUUAAUCAACUAAUUGUGGCUGUUUAGCAUUGAGUGUAAUUUACCAGGCCCCGAUUUAAGGGUGGGCAACCCAACGCGCCAACUUUAAUAUGGGGAAGAAACAACCGUUAUGCUCAUAACGGUUGUUUCUUCCUAUCCCACAAUACAUUCCUACUUCUUUUUUACUUCUUCCUCAUCAUUUUUUCCUAUUCACUCACGAGUCACCAUGUGAAGCAACCCUCGUCGUCCUGAAGAAGACCCAAGAGGUCGAAACGUUGACAAAAAAGGCCUAAUCUGGACCCCUCCAAGUACUAAAAAAAACGAACUCUUAUAAUGUCCUCCACCUUGGUCCUCCUCCUCGCCACGGUCGUCUGCUUUUUUGCCAUCGUCCAUCUUCCCGAGGGGGGCCAGGCUGCCGAUGAUUGCACGGUGUGUCCCGAACUCAGAGUUUACCAGAAAAAGGAAGGCAGAGGAAUCGGAAGUUGACAAAGAGUUGGUGAGUUUUCUAAAACGCCCUAAGGAGAAUGAGGAUGAGCAUUAUCAUUUUGGGCUAUCUAUUGCUAAUCAAUUGCGGAAUAUGACUCCUAUGAUGUCAAGCUACGUUAAAUUACAAAUUCAAAAUGUCAUACAUAUCUCCCUCUAUCCAAAUCCUAAUCACCAAAACUAAAUCAAUUCAUUUGGUGUAAAU
This is a long non-coding RNA of Folsomia candida, 938 nucleotides long. RefSeq lists it as uncharacterized. The record is from RefSeq and is a predicted model, not a curated record. The transcript is spliced from 3 exons. Lineage: Eukaryota; Metazoa; Arthropoda; Collembola; Entomobryomorpha; Isotomidae.